CAAUAGCGUAUAUUAAAGUUGUUGCAGUUAAAAAGCUCGUAGUUGGAUUUCGGGGCAGCCUGGCUGGUCCGCCGCAAGGCGAGUACUGGUCAGCCGCCCUUCCUCUCGAAAGCCCCGACUGCUCUUCGUUGCAGUGGUCGGGUAGUUCGGGACGUUUACUUUGAAAAAAUUAGAGUGUUCAAGGCAGGCCUACGCCUAAAUACAUUAGCAUGGAAUAAUGGAAGAGGACCUCGGUCCUAUUUUGUUGGUUUCCAGGGCCGAAGUAAUGAUUAAGAGGGACAGUUGGGGGCAUUCGUAUUUAAUUGUCAGAGGUGAAAUUCUCGGAUUUAUGAAAGACGAACAACUGCGAAAGCAUUUGCCAAGGAUGUUUUCAUUAA
This 377-nucleotide ribosomal RNA is filed under the name uncultured eukaryote. RNAcentral's name for it is "partial 18S ribosomal RNA". It matches the Rfam family "Eukaryotic small subunit ribosomal RNA", at positions 592 to 976 of the family's 1831-position model. The record is from RNAcentral.